Athalia rosae (coleseed sawfly) is the source of this 6875-nucleotide long non-coding RNA. RefSeq lists it as uncharacterized. The transcript is spliced from 3 exons. The record is from RefSeq and is a predicted model, not a curated record. NCBI's taxonomy places the organism in Eukaryota, Metazoa, Arthropoda, Insecta, Hymenoptera, Athaliidae.
AUAAAGUAUUGAAAAUUAAUAUAUAUGUUAUAGAAUCGCAUCACGAUGCACCGCAGUGAAACGUCGGUGUAUAUUGAUGUACGGCAAAAAAUAUCACCGUGAGAAAAUUCGAUCAUCAUCUUCGACUGCGCUUUGUAAAAUAAAACUGUCUGCAGGAUCGCGUAUGUUUAUUCAUUGACUAGCGAGCUCCUCUUUUUCUGCGCAGGUUAACAACAACCGAGAACAACGAUUUUUCUUUCAGGAAAUAAUCGACGCGAUAUUGUAAGAAUACCACGUCAAAAUAUUUCAGAUAUUUAUAAACAUUUCUUCAUCGUUCAUUCACUCCGUCUACACUUGCAGUAUACGAUUCGCUUCUAAAACGCGUCCCAUGAAUAAUGCAGUGAUUUCAAAUCCCUGUGGAAUGACGAAGUAGGUGUACGGUAUGAAAAAAGCGGCACGUUUUGUCCGUACAAAUCACGGUCAAAUUGAAAAAAUGUAUAACAAUCAGUUUCAGAUGUCGUAUUUUUUUCACGUUGUCAAAUUUAUCUUUCUGGUUGGUCGCGUUUAAUUUGACACUUUUUCUUCGCAUGGUUCUUGGCGUGUCUCUGAUUAAAGGAAAGAUCCAAGGACACCGAUCUAUAAUAUUUCUAAUUGCAAGUUACAAGAUCAUGAAUCAGUUGCCAACUAACCAAGUAAAUGAACGUUGUGCACCGAAGCAGAGAAAAAGUAAAGAGAAGAAGAAGUGGAAAAAAAGGAAGUGACAAAACCCUGACAUAAUUAAAUAAUUUAUGUAAUACCACAAGCAAACGUACCUGUUCGUCCCAAAAUCAUAUAUAUUUAGCAUCCGAAAUCGAUCUACUUUUUUUAUCACGAAAACUGCAAGCGCGAAAACUACAUAGAAUUUUGGAGAAAUGGAAGAAAGGUAAAAAAAUAUUUGUAUCAAAAAAAGCUCAACACUGUGCAGGUGCGAAGACAGACUUCGCCUCUUUGACCCUUGGUGAAACUGGAUUCAGGUAGUAAACCUGAAAACGAGUCUUAUACCGUGACCAUGAAACGUUCGUUCAAGGUGCAGUAUAUAGAUAUGGCUACCGGUCUACGUGACUGAUACCUGCACCGGCCAUGACCGUGAAAUUUGACGACGAAUAUCUCGGAACCGCAUCGGUCGACGAAGAAAUUAUUGCCGGUCGAAAUUGUGCGACUGCGUUCGAAAAACCAUCGGUCGAACGAAGCGAUUCUAUACAAUUUCUGUAAUUGACAAAUUUCAAUAAAUUUUUUUCAUCGCAUACCUAAAUCCGUAAAAAUCACCAAAACUGUUUUUCAUGCGAUCGAUCGAUAGAUCGUCAUGAGAAACAAAAAUAAAGUCAAAACAAAAAUUUUGCGACUACACAGCAGGCCUCUGAUCGUCUUGCUAUUCUUCGAUCGACGCUUUUAAAAUUUUGUCGAUAAAAUAAUAAUCCGUUCAUUAAAUUUACAUUGCAAAAUAAAUUAUUAUUUUUUCCCCCGGUACAUAAAACUGACGUACCGCAAGCUUGGACGUAUACGAUAACGUCCCAUCUAACAGGACAAGGUAUCUAAGUACCGACGUUUCCGUAAACACAUCUCAAUGUUGCUUCGCGCCCCUGAUGUGGUCUGCAUAUAAUUGCGUCGACGACGACGUUGGCACGUUGACACUUUGGCAUCGUUGAUUACGUGACUCGACGCACACGACACCUGAUACGCAUGAUAUACAUAUACAUAGGUAUAAAGAUAAUGUACGCAUUUUCACGGGGGUUGAUGUCACGUCGCCGCUGUCGGUGCUGUCGCUGCAACGUUGGGAUUGCCGGCGCUACAGAGUCAACAACCGAAAUACGAAAUGAUGUAACUCACCAUUUCUACUGACUAUCGAGAACUGAGAACCAGAAGGGUGUAGGCAAAAAAAUUUCGGUUUCGGUCCUGUGUGAAAAUGAGCCAGGCUUAGCGCCAGAUGGGAUCUAUUGAAAGGACGCAUCCCAAAAAAAAUGAGAUCAAUCUCAAUGAAGAUAAAAGUUUAUCGACUCCGAUCGUACCUCUGUGACAAUAAUGAAAACAUUUCAUUCCGGAUGUGUUUUGUUGAAUUUUUAUUUGAUCUUGUUUUUUCUAUUGCCUGACUGUGAAAUUGUUAGCCUGGAACACGCGUUCCAUUGCGCGUGGUACUUUGCAUUGUUCCUUGAAUAUAAUGUGUAAUUUAGAGAAAAGCGCACGUGCAGUUUCAGAAAAGUAUUAUCAUUAGUCUUUUUUCAUUAUAGGAACGCGUCACGCGAUGAUCAUCUCUUUUCCCUUUCAUUCGUAACAUCAUCAUCAUUGUUAUAAAAUUUCUAUACCGUUAUUCGAUUCGUUGAUCGUCUACCAAAAAGAUACAAAAAUUUUCAACUCCAAGAAAAAAUAUUUAAACAAAAUUUCGUACUAAUUAUUAUUUUUUUUUUUUGUUUUCGUCAUCUCUAUAACAUAAGUUUACUUGAGUCACGCUAUUUAUAGCGGUGAUUAUACAGCGAAUGUAUUUAAUUCUUUGACUUAGAAUAUAUUGAAAAUUACGUGAUAGUAUAUAAUAAUCGGACUACACGUAACCGAAACCAUAUUACAGACCUUAGAGACCACGAAAAAGAAAUGAAUGAAUAAAACAAGAGCAUUGGCACAACUGCAAUAAAUUACGACGCGAUUAUGCGGUAGAUAUAGGCGAAUUACAUGCGCCCUUUUGUUACGGACAUUAAACGAUGCAGAUAGCUAGACGGCCAAUUUAAUCUUAACACGCGAGCUACGUGUCGGUGAGACGACCGCGGCGGGCAAACUCAACGACUCGGAGCUUCGACACUAUGUAGCCCUGACCUACAUUCGCAGAUUUGUCUGUGCAGCUUCGAUUUCGAUUUUUUUCUCUCAAUUGCUCACGAUCGAUCAGAUAUAUUGGUUUUAUUCUCAUAUCUGAGUUACUCGCGUACGUAAAUCAGAUGCUUUGCGGUGCAUAUUUUGAAAAUAUAUACCUAUACGUACAUACGUAGGUGUAUAUUCAAUACAUGAUUCGAUACCAGUUUGACUUUUUUUUUUGUGAAAAAGGACCAGAUACUCGUUCUCCUUUAAAAAAAAAAAAAGGUCAGAGAAUGUUGUAUAUUGUAUUGAACCGGGGAAAAAAGGAAUUCUUUUUUUAAAAACCCGGUGUUCGCACAUACAAUAAAACUCAAAUCGAAAUUGGAUACUGAAUAUACAUUUAAAUCGAUAUUUGAAAAUUUCUGUAAAUGUGGCAACGUUUGUUCAUUAUUACGGUGUGGAAAAAAAAAACGAAAGAACUUUUACAAAAUGCCGUUCACAGCGUAAUCUGUGUAAUUAUACGCCCGCCGUCAACUAGAUAUAUGUACUUAUACAUGCUGCGGUGUGUGAUUCUAGUCACGUAUGUAAGAGGAGUAGGAGAAGAGCUGCGUCGUUGGUAUAUUAUUGUCGACGAGAAUUAGUUGAUUUUUUUUCUCUCGUUUUCUCAUCUCCUAACAUUAUUUUUGUUUUUAACGCAUUUUUAAACGCAGAUUCAGGCCAUCGCCUGUUUGUUAAAUUUAAAGCGCACGUACGUGGGCCCUGCGAUAAGGGUUAAUUUCGAAAUUUCCAUCAUGUACUCGAAUACGUUGAUUUUGUUCGUCUCUAUCCCCCUGCAGGAUGAGCCUUGUCGUCCCGAUCGUUUCACGUUCACAAACGCAAAUUUCAACGUGUAUCGCAUGUAGUGAAAUGUAACAAAUUCAUAUGUAUUAUACCUGCAGCGGUAUGGCAUAUCCAUAAACCGAAACUUAAAUAUACGAAGCCUGCCGCCGCUGCACCGGCUGCUAUUAUAUCGGGUCCCUAACAGGUUUUCGAAGGUUCCAUCCUCCUCCUGCCCCUGCAUGAUGAUGUGCAGGUAAUUCUUGGCUAUAACGACUCGCGCGUAACGGAGAAGGAUCGAGCUGGAGUCGGAGAUCGAGGAUCGGGGCAGAAGAAGUUUACAUAGGUGUAUACAUAUACCUGUGUACAUUAUAUAAAAAACGAAGACUACCAGGUUGAACACCCGGUUGCACUCCACGACGUCUCUUGAAAUUUUUUUCUUUUUCAUUUCUUCGCAGACCACGUAACGGGGGGGUGUGGCACGAUUACGAAUCGGGGUACCCGGCGCAUCGGCAUUACGGUUGAGCUCUACGUGUCAUGUACGGUGUGUACGGUUUAUAACCAGGGGAUAAGAAACAGGAUUAAAUGCCAGAAAAUCAUUGAUAAACAAAUUCCCGAUCCAACUGCGAAGCGUAUCACGCCACUUUCCCAACGUUUAUUUUAGCACUCUGCAAUACUACGGUAGUCUGCUACUGCUGUGUAGAAGGAGGCGUCGUCUCUGACGCCGAUCAUCACGGCCGCUCUAUGUGUAUGGAACUAAAAAACACGUUGUUGAGAAAAUUCUCAAGCUGAAAUUAUUUCUCUAUCCCUGCGUAUUUUAUUUAUUUAUUUUCUCUCUCUCUCUCUUCGACGUCGUCUCUGGAAUUGUGUGACUCAAGUACGUGCGACAUGGGAUGUGAAAUUCCCCUACAAAUUUUGGAUCUUUUUACUCGACGAUUGGUGUAGAGAAAAAAACGAGAGUCAUCGAAUUUUUUAAAGAUCGCACGAGUUGACGUUUCACGAACGACUCCGAGUCACGUAGGAUAAAUUAUUUCAAUUCAUUGGGACGACCUUUGCUUGCAUUAAACGUUGGCAAGUGUAGCUUAUAUAUGUGUACUUUCUGUGCGAUCGGCCGAUGUUUGCAUAUGUUCAUGCAUGCAUGCACUUAUAUGCACCAGCAACAUACCCAAAUAGCACAGUCGGCCACUAAAAGAGAUAAUAAUAAUCCAUCUGCACCAAUACUCUUUCAUUGUUUAUUAUCGUUCCUAAGAUUAUCCCAUAUACCUCCUGCGUAACAUUCCCUUAUACGUUUUAGACCUCGUAGUUUUUAUUCUGCGUUAUAACGCGGGAUAAAAAUUGUAUUGACGAAAAUUUUUCACAUUUCGAUCUCGUGGUGAGUAUAAAAGUAUCGGCUGUAAAUGACAUGAUGCUUAACAUCGAUGAUAUCAGCAAAAUCACGUGUCAAAAUUAGAACGGGGUUGUUGCCAAUUUAUUCGUAAUAUCAUUUAGUGCGUAUCGAUAUUACAAUGAAUCUUAUUUCGUUUCGUAAUAAAUACUUUUAGAAUGAUGCGAAAAUUUAAUAAUUCUAUACGAUGUGAAAUUUUUCGGAUGCGUAUUUUAUUUUCUCCCCUUUUUCUACGAUGUAUUGUUCGGGAGUGCAGCUGCGAUUAUUAUUGCGAGGGGAGUUUGACUAUUUUUAAAACCUUUUAAUAAUUGCAGCUUUGUUUCAUAGGUUUUAGAGCGACGGUAUUGGUUUCGUACAAUACAGCGAAUAAUAUUACGGUCCACAAUACCGAGUGGUACAGGGUUUUGGAAGGCAAGAAGCUCGAAGCUUGAAUAUGCUAUAGAAGUUGGCAAUGCGCAGUAGAUUUCACGUUUCCUGUGGUAUAUAAAACCGGACUGGGUUUACAGCCGGACAAACUAUUGUCCAAAACUGACGCAAGUUGAAACGCUUUAAAACGGUUGCCAUGCAAGACUAUUCUUAUCUGAACCGUAGGUGGUACACUCAGGUUGUCAUUCGGUAUAUCUCUCUCUUUAUUAUUAUAUUCCUUUUGACAAUAAUUGAAUACGAACGCCAAGUGCUCUCACGUGUUUCUUUAAAGCACAUCAGCUGUUUAUGAUUAAUGAAUAAGAAAUCCAAACGAUGUUCCCUUCAAUUGGCAAUAAUAUCCCCUUUUCAAAUUUUCCAGACUCAUCGUCAUAUCUCUGCACGAAUUUACGUCACGUUGAUUUGUCUCAUUUCAUUCAACAUUCAAAAAUUCACCUGUAUUAUGUCUGUGUAUUGUUAUAAACCGAACUCGAGUUCGAUGUACUCAUCGUUUGUCUUCUCAUCCAUUUUCCCAUCUUAUAGUUAUUAAAUAUGUCGCAAUUGUUGCUACUACCAAAUUUUUCCAAAGUUUGUUCAACGGUGACAUUAAAAAUUUUACGACACAACGUUUCAUGACACCCACACGUGUUGUCGCUUUUUUUUUUUUGGGGGAAAAAACAUUUACUUAAUUUUAGAACGUUUUAUAGAAGACAUGUUCUCCAACGACCUACGAUCUCAAAAUGUUUAUAGAGAUAGGGACCUAUUAAAUGCUCUACAAAUAGCCAUACAAAACGUUCUAGAAAAUAUGUUGAGUUAGGGGUUAUCUGAUUAAAUAACAUUUUGUGAUAAAAUUUCUACGUAAACAUUUGUAUCUCAACACCACUUUUAGGCAUAUAUACGUAUAGUUUAAUAAUGUUGAGAUAACAAGACAACAAGAGGUUGUGCCGUUUGAUCCGAUGCCAGAGUCAAAGUAUUGUACAGAAGUAGUGAAUAGCUAAAUAGCAGCAGAUGAUAUCUCCUCGUUUCAUUUUUCUCGCGGUAAAUAAAUAGGCGUUAUUACUAACGGGCUAUAUUUGUAACGCCACGCGAUUACCUAUGGCGCCGGCUGUUACUUUCACUUGCUAUUUUAGCGGAUAAAGGAGGGUUAUUUCGUUUGGAGAUCAAGGGAUGAUUUUGUUUAAGAUUAACCGAACGCCGCGAUAUUGGGCGCUCGAUAAAUGACAUUUCCAAAUCAAGGAAAUAUACGCGAAUAAAUAUUCACCCGGUGAAUUAGCGAGGCUUUGAGAAGGCAAUAUUAUCAAAAUGGCCGCCAAGACACGCGUACUAACACGAUUAGAUAGUUUUGACAUAAAACGGAAACUUGGCACGGUCAUCAAGGGCGAUUAAUCCAACCCUGAGCGAUCACCUUUACUCUGAUUACAAAAUUUGAAAAAACUUAUGCCUAUUUACCCGAAAAAAUAAUUUUUUUAGGACUCAC